CGAAGAGCGGCGGACGACGGGACGUAUGGGGGGUCACGGCUUCUCUCUGUGUUGUUGUGCGUGUGUUGCAGCAUCCAAUUAAAUUGGCAGCAGUAGUAGCAGAAGCUCGCGAGUAUUCUGACCGAGAUGUGAAAAAUAUACAUAUAU
Non-coding RNA from Caenorhabditis elegans, 147 nucleotides. NCBI's taxonomy places the organism in Eukaryota, Metazoa, Nematoda, Chromadorea, Rhabditida, Rhabditidae. The record is from Ensembl.